UACCCUGUAGAUCCGAAUUUGUGUUAUUAGCAACAAAUCCGUAUCUGCGGUGUAUU
RNAcentral lists this microRNA precursor (56 nucleotides) under Nautilus pompilius. RNAcentral describes it as "Npo-Mir-10-P1_pre stem-loop". Lineage: Eukaryota; Metazoa; Mollusca; Cephalopoda; Nautilida; Nautilidae. The record is from RNAcentral.